Homo sapiens (human) is the source of this 808-nucleotide long non-coding RNA. RefSeq lists it as uncharacterized. The transcript is spliced from 2 exons. The record is from RefSeq and is a predicted model, not a curated record. NCBI's taxonomy places the organism in Eukaryota, Metazoa, Chordata, Mammalia, Primates, Hominidae.
GUGUGAGCGUGUAUUGAGGGGGAGAGCUAGCGAAGAGUUAGCGCGGCGAAGAAAUAGUGAUGCUGUGACACUUCUAAGGCUAGGAUUUAAGAAGCCUUGCAGAGUCCACCAGGGUCCCUUGGAACACAAAUUGUGGGAGAAGCAAUCCCUGAAGAAAGCCAGCCAUUAUGGAAGAAAUCCAACGACCCUGAGACCACUAUGCUGUAAGGAAGACCAAGCCAGCAAAGAAGAAGAAACCAUGUCCGGGUGCGGUGGCUCACGCCUGUAAUCCCAGCACUUUGGGAGGCCGAGGUGGGCGGAUCACUAGGUCAAGAGAAAGAGACCAUCCUGGCCAACAUGGUGAAACCCCAUCUCUACUAAAAAUACAAAAAUUAGCUGGGCGUGGUGGCACGUGCCUGUAGUCCCAGCUACUCGGGAGGCUGAGGCAGGAGAACCGCUUUGAACCUGGGGGGCGGAGGUUGUAGUGAGCCAAGAUUGCACCACUGCACUCCAGCCUGGCAACAGAGUGAAAAAAAAAAAAAAAAAAAAAAAAAGAAGAAGAAACCAUAUGGAGACAGAGAUGCCCCACCAGUACCCAAAUGUCUCAGACAUCACAGGCAUCAGACACAUUAGUAAAGAAGCUGUAAGCCAACCCCAGUUAUUUGACUGGAAUCAUAUGAGGAACCCUAAGUAAGAACUACAUCUCUGAGCUCAUCAAGGCCACAGAAUGGUGAGAGGUAAUCAUAAAUGGUUGUUUUAAGCCACAAAGUUCAGGAGUAGAUGGUUAUAUGGAAUAAAUAACUACCAGAGGUGUCUAACUUUCAUUCAA